CCUACGGGGGGCAGCAGUGAGGAAUAUUGGUCAAUGGACGAGCGUCUGAACCAGCCAAGUAGCGUGAAGGAUGACUGCCCUAUGGGUUGUAAACUUCUUUUAUAUGGGAAUAAAAUGUUCCACGUGUGGGAUUUUGUAUGUACCAUAUGAAUAAGGAUCGGCUAACUCCGUGCCAGCAGCCGCGGUAAUACGGAGGAUCCGAGCGUUAUCCGGAUUUAUUGGGUUUAAAGGGAGCGUAGGUGGAUUGUUAAGUCAGUUGUGAAAGUUUGCGGCUCAACCGUAAAAUUGCAGUUGAAACUGGCAGUCUUGAGUACAGUAGAGGUGGGCGGAAUUCGUGGUGUAGCGGUGAAAUGCUUAGAUAUCACGAAGAACUCCGAUUGCGAAGGCAGUUCACUGGACUGCAACUGACACUGAGGCUCGAAAGUGUGGGUAUCAAACAGGAUUAGAUACCCGAGUAGUC
RNAcentral lists this ribosomal RNA (460 nucleotides) under uncultured bacterium. RNAcentral describes it as "partial 16S ribosomal RNA". It matches the Rfam family "Bacterial small subunit ribosomal RNA", at positions 338 to 795 of the family's 1533-position model. The record is from RNAcentral.